UGAGAUGUAGCUCAAUUGGUAGAGCUCCCCGCUGUUAACGGGGUGGUUGCAGGUUUGAAUCCUGCCGUCUCAG
This 73-nucleotide transfer RNA is filed under the name Candidatus Dojkabacteria bacterium. RNAcentral's name for it is "tRNA-Asn". It matches the Rfam family "tRNA". Rfam says of the family: Transfer RNA (tRNA) molecules are approximately 80 nucleotides in length. Their secondary structure includes four short double-helical elements and three loops (D, anti-codon, and T loops). Further hydrogen bonds mediate the characteristic L-shaped molecular structure. tRNAs have two regions of fundamental functional importance: the anti-codon, which is responsible for specific mRNA codon recognition, and the 3' end, to which the tRNAs corresponding amino acid is attached (by aminoacyl-tRNA synthetases). tRNAs cope with the degeneracy of the genetic code in two manners: having more than one tRNA (with a specific anti-codon) for a particular amino acid; and 'wobble' base-pairing, i.e. permitting non-standard base-pairing at the 3rd anti-codon position. The record is from RNAcentral.